RNAcentral lists this ribosomal RNA (490 nucleotides) under uncultured bacterium. RNAcentral describes it as "partial 16S ribosomal RNA". It matches the Rfam family "Bacterial small subunit ribosomal RNA", at positions 30 to 507 of the family's 1533-position model. The record is from RNAcentral.
AUUGAACGCUGGCGGCAGGCCUAACACAUGCCAGUCGAACGGUAACAGGAAGCAGCUUGCUGCUUUGCUGACGAGUGGCGGACGGGUGAGUAAUGUCUGGGAAACUGCCCGAUGGAGGGGGAUAACUACUGGAAACGGUACCUAAUACCGCUUAACGUCGCAAGCCCAAAGUGGGGGACCUUAGGGCCUCUUUCCAUCGGAUGUGCCCAGAUGGGAUUAGCUAGUAGGUGGGGUAACGGCUCACCUAGGCGACGAUCCCUAGCUGGUCUGAGAGGAUGACCAGCCACACUGGAACUGAGACACGGUCCAGACUCCUACGGGAGGCAGCAGUGGGGAAUAUUGCACAAUGGGCGAAAGCCUGAUGCAGCAAUGCCGCGUGUAUGAAGAAGGCCUUCGGGUUGUAAAGUACUUUCAGCGGGGAGGAAGAGAGUAAAGUUAAAACGUGUACUCAUUGACGGUACCUGCAGAGAAAGCACCGGCUAACUACGUG